Molecule: ribosomal RNA, 497 nt
Filed under: uncultured bacterium
Lineage: Bacteria
Description: partial 16S ribosomal RNA
Rfam family: Bacterial small subunit ribosomal RNA
Source: RNAcentral
GAUGAACGCUGGCGGCGUGCCUAAUACAUGCAAGUCGAGCGAACAGACGAGGAGCUUGCUCCUCUGACGUUAGCGGCGGACGGGUGAGUAACACGUGGAUAACCUACCUAUAAGACUGGGAUAACUUCGGGAAGCCGGAGCUAAUACCGGAUAAUAUAUUGAACCGCAUGGUUCAAUAGUGAAAGACGGUUUUGCUGUCACUUAUAGAUGGAUCCGCGCCGCAUUAGCUAGUUGGUAAGGUAACGGCUUACCAAGGCAACGAUGCGUAGCCGACCUGAGAGGGUGAUCGGCCACACUGGAACUGAGACACGGUCCAGACUCCUACGGGAGGCAGCAGUAGGGAAUCUUCCGCAAUGGGCGAAAGCCUGACGGAGCAACGCCGCGUGAGUGAUGAAGGUCUUCGGAUCGUAAAACUCUGUUAUUAGGGAAGAACAAAUGUGUAAGUAACUAUGCACGUCUUGACGGUACCUAAUCAGAAGGCCACGGCUAACUACGUG